UACGGGGGGUGCAAACGUUGCUCGGAAUUAUUGGGCGUAAAGCGCACGUAGGCGGUCCUGUACGUCGGGUGUGAAAGCCCCAGGCUUAACCUGGGAAGUGCACUCGAAACUGUAGGGCUUGAGUAUGGAAGAGGGUCUCGGAAUUCCCGGUGUAGAGGUGAAAUUCGUAGAUAUCGGGAGGAACACCAGUGGCGAAGGCGGAGACCUGGGCCAAUACUGACGCUGAGGUGCGAAAGCGUGGGGAGCAAACAGG
RNAcentral lists this ribosomal RNA (253 nucleotides) under uncultured bacterium. Its description in RNAcentral is "partial 16S ribosomal RNA". It matches the Rfam family "Bacterial small subunit ribosomal RNA", at positions 524 to 776 of the family's 1533-position model. The record is from RNAcentral.